UGGGGAGAAUAUCAAUAAUAAUAAUAAUUAUUAGCCAAGUUGGACACAGGCUCUGUCCCGCGUGGGGCUCACAGUCUCAAUCCCCAUUUUACAGAUAAGGUAGCUGAGGCAGAGGGAAGUGAAGUAAUAAUAAUAAUAAUAAUAAUGUUGGUAUUUGUUAAGCGCUUACUAUGUGCCAAGCACUGUUCUAAGCGCUGGGGUAGACAUAGGGGAAUCAGGUUGUCCCACGUGGGGCUCACAGUCUUAAUCCCCAUUUUACAGAUGAGGGAACUGAGGCACGGAGAAGUUAAGUGACUUGCCCACAGUCACACAGCCGACAAGUGGCCGAGCUGGGAUUCGAACUCAUGAGCCCUGACUCCAAAGCCCGUGCUCUUUCCACUGAGCCACGCUGCUUCUCCAAGGUUACACGGCAGACAAGUGGAGGAGCCGGGAUUAGAGACGAGGUGAUAGGGCUCAACAGCGUCCAGCCAGGCUGAUAGAAGGGGACCUGAUCGACCUCGACAGAGCAUUUCAUUUCCAAUUCGGCCUUCAGCUGUGAGAAAUGCAGAGCACAAACUGUUCCUUGAGAUGGGGGCCGAUGUUCCAUCGAGGUCAGCGGUAAACGGCCGCUCGGAAGGACGCUGGGGGACGAUGAGAUCAGCUGCAGCCAGGACGGAGGAGUUGGUGACUCCGGAGAGACAAUUUCGGAACGCGGCCACUCGUUCGUGAUCUGCGAUGACAGCGACCGUGUUUCUGGCUGCGUCACUUCCAGAAGACAGUUUUGUUCUUUAAUGGAAAAAAGUCGGGAGAUCUGGAGUCUGGUCUCAGCUUUGCGAUCUUGGGUAGAACCCUUGGCUUCAUCAGUGAACAGAGAUUUAAGGACAGUCCAACCCAGCUGAUGCCGACGGUCACCCCUUAAACCUCGUCGGUGGAAUCAUUCCGCACGGCCAACAGAGGGACUCUGUCUUCUCUCCGUCAAGCUAACUUGGAAAUUGAACGAUCCGUUAUAAGGAUUACACUCGCUGACGAUGCGCUCCAGAAGAAGUAGAGAAAUUCAUCUGUGGGUUUGAGCUGAUCUCGUAGACUGGAGUAAAAAAAAAAAAUGAUGAAAUAAUAACGCCGAUGUUUGUUAAGCGCUUACUAUGUGCCAGGCACUGUACUAAGACGCGGGGUGGAUACGUGCAAAUUGAGUUGGACACAGUCCCUGCCCCGCCUGGGGCUCAAGCCCCAUUUUACAGAUGAGGUCACUGAGGCACAGAAGAGCGAAGUGACUUGCCCAAGGUCACACAGCAGUCAAGUGGUGGAGCUAGGAUGAGAUUACACCCCCCGCUGCCCCACAGCAUGUGUUUAUAUUUAUAUAUAUAUAUAUAUAUAUUAUUCUAUUUAUUUUAUUAAUGAUGUAUAUAUAUAUAUAUCUAUAAUUCUAUUUAUUUACGUUGAUGCUUGUUCACUUGCUUUGUUUUGUUUUGUCUGUCUACCCCCUUCUAGUCUGUGAGCCCGUUGUUGGGCAGGGAUUGUCUCUACCUGUUGCCAAAUUGUACUUUUCAAGGGCUGACUACAGUGCUCUGCACACAGCAAGCGCUCAAUAAAUAUGAUUAAAUGAAUGAAGCAAUGAAGAACUCAUGACCUUCUGAUUUCCAGGGCCAUGGUCUAUCCGCCACACCACGCUGCUUCUCUAUGAAAAUUAGUAGAAAGGGCACGAGCCUGGGAAUCUAAAGAUCUGGACUGACUGGCCUUUGCCAGCUGGGUGACCUCUGGCAAGUCACUUCACUUCUCUGUGCCUCAGUUUCCUCAUCUGUCAAAUGGGGAUUCAAUACCUGUUCUCCAGCCUCUCCUCUUUAGACUGUGAGUCCUGUGUGGGACAGGGACUGUGCCCAACCUGAUUAACUUGGAUCUCCCCCAGUGCUGCGAACAGUGCCUGGCACAUGGCAGGUGCUUAAGAAAUACCACAGUUACUCUUAUUAUUCAUUCAUUCAUUCAUUCACUCAAUAGUAUUUAUUGAGCGCUUACUAUGUGCAGAGCACUGUACUAAGCGCUUGGAAUGAACAAGUCGGCAACAGAUAGAGACGGUCCCUGCCGUCUGACGGGCUUACGGUCUGAUCGGGGGAGACGGACAUACAAGAACAUUAUUAUUGUUAUUAUUCAAAAAGAAAGGGAUGGAUAGCAGGGCAGCCAAGGCCUUGGACAAACACUAAUGCGAAGCUCCUGAAGGAAGAUCCGUCACCAAGCGUAAGCAUUCACCCUGAAGCUGGUCCCUGAGAG
This 2241-nucleotide long non-coding RNA is filed under the name Ornithorhynchus anatinus (platypus). RNAcentral's name for it is "lncRNA (ENSOANG00000049689.1)". The record is from RNAcentral. Lineage: Eukaryota; Metazoa; Chordata; Mammalia; Monotremata; Ornithorhynchidae.